CUCGGUACAAAAUAAAAACUGGACAUCCGGCUGCUGUAAGUGGACACUCUUGCACUUUGGUGUUCAGGUGUUUGACAUUUUAAUAUCCAGGUUCUAUGUCUCAGACGUGCGGCAGGUUUCGGGUUUCGGCGUUGGAAGCUGAACUCACAGCACUGAACGGCCGUCACGCGUUGUUGCUGUAAAUGGACGAAGACAAAAGGUUCUGGAUGGUUGGUUUUCUCUGGUUUUCUGGAUGAUGUGCAAGAACGAUACUUUAACUUCACAUUAACUUUGGUCAUUUGGCUGAACUUUCGCUGCAGCUUCCAACCGCCGGAUCAGAACCGAACUUCAUGCCGCCGCUCCGGCAGCAGCAGCGUUUCUGCCACAGCAGGAGGACUUUGUUCUGUGGUGAAUCCGGACUGGAAGCUGCUGCAGUAAACAAGCAUGUGUUGGUCCAACAGCUCAGAUUUCAUCUCCUGAACAUGAAACAACUCAUCAGCACGGAGCUAUUUUCAGGCUCUUAUCUCACCGUUCUGCUUCACUUCUGCUGCUCUGCUGCCUCUUUCUCUUUAAUCCCGACAUGCAGCUUCAUGUCUGGGGAGGUUCAUGUCAGUCCAGAGCUCCACAUCAGUCAUCACUUUACACACUCCAGCUUCAUCCUCAGCUGAACAAACAGAGAUACGCUGCAUCUGAAGCUCUGCAGACACAAUCUGUGGUGUUUCUCAGAACUCUGCUGCUCCACAGACCUGUUUGUUCUCAGAAAGCUGCUGAGAUGCAGCGAAGGACGAACCCCACGCUGUGUUUUUAUCGCUCGCUGUUGCUUCACAGCCAGAAGGAGCUGAAACUCGUCCUGACAACUGAUGAGCAGAUAAGUUUCUAUUCUGAGCGGCUGUGUGGCAGCAGGAUUCCCAGCAGAGAUCGGAUCAGAUCCAGGCUCAGGUAACUGACCUUCAACCUUCCUGAGAAACAGAGCCACCACAUGAAGUCUACAUGUGACCUGCUCGGCUUCCAGAAGCUCAUCUCCAGCAGCUACAGUCUCAUCAGCUGGAGGUUGAACAGCUGAACUGAUGAAAGCAUCAGCGUGGCCUCCACCAACAGCAGAACGGAGCUAACCGGCUCCUCUGUGCUCCAUGGAGACACCGUAAAUACGACUCAAACCCUCAUAACCUGCAUGCUGGUGUGGAAACAUCCAGAUUCUCGGCAGUGAUGAAGCUUCACGCUGCUGCAGCUCACUGAGGCCGACGGUUUCUUAUCUGACAGUCAUCCUUAGAGUAAACCUGUACGUCCUCCUGACAGGACACACACAGAGAGACAUGUCCACAGGUGACGCUCUGCUGGAUGUAAAUCAGAAGUUUGGUUUGACGAAGGCUCCUUCUGGAGCUGCAGCGAGUGAAUACUUGUCUACUGUUGAUUAAUCUUUCGCUUGUUUUCUGCAUUAAUUGAUCAGCUGUUUGGUUUACAAUAUCAGAAAAUGGUGAAAAAUGUGGACCAGUUUCCUUCGAUGUCUUGUUUAGUCCACAGAUGAUCAGUUCACCGACACAGAGGACAGAAACCAGAAAACAUUCACAGUGAAGCUGAGCUCAGAGUUCAGGUUUUGUUAAACUGAACCACUGGAGCUGGUUUCUGGACGGCGCUGCUGCUGCUUGCUAUUAGUCCGUCAUUAGUGUGUCAAACACUUUGCUGGCUUUCACGUUUUUUCUCUCACACAUGUUCCUUUGAGGAAUAAACGCUUUCUGCACAAAAA
Stegastes partitus (bicolor damselfish) is the source of this 1723-nucleotide long non-coding RNA. RefSeq lists it as uncharacterized. The transcript is spliced from 2 exons. The record is from RefSeq and is a predicted model, not a curated record. NCBI's taxonomy places the organism in Eukaryota, Metazoa, Chordata, Actinopteri, Pomacentridae.